Molecule: ribosomal RNA, 252 nt
Filed under: Drosophila mulleri
Lineage: Eukaryota; Metazoa; Arthropoda; Insecta; Diptera; Drosophilidae
Description: partial 16S ribosomal RNA
Source: RNAcentral
UUUUUUUAGAAUUUUAUUUUUUAGUCAAAAAGCUAAAAUUUAUUUAAAAGACGAGAAGACCCUAUAAAUCUUUAUAUUUUGUUUAUUUUAAUUAUAAAGAUUAUUUUUAUUAUAAUAAAUUAAAAUAUUUUAUUGGGGUGAUAUUAAAAUUUAAAAACUUUUAAUUUAUAAAAUCAUUAAUUUAUGAAUAAUUGAUCCGUUAAUAAUGAUUAAAAAUUUAAGUUACUUUAGGGAUAACAGCGUAAUUUUUUU